RNAcentral lists this non-coding RNA (24 nucleotides) under Cricetulus griseus (Chinese hamster). Lineage: Eukaryota; Metazoa; Chordata; Mammalia; Rodentia; Cricetidae. The record is from RNAcentral.
AUGGAGUAAAUGUGGCAGAUUUGG